Molecule: microRNA precursor, 81 nt
Organism: Myotis lucifugus (little brown bat)
Lineage: Eukaryota; Metazoa; Chordata; Mammalia; Chiroptera; Vespertilionidae
Rfam family: mir-574 microRNA precursor family
Source: Rfam
AGGCCCAAAGACAGAGGCAAGGUCUGAUCCGCAGCCUCAGUGGCAGCUGUUGAUCAGCCAUUGCCUCUCUCUUUCUCUCCU